AUCCAAUUGACGAGUCUUAAAUAGGACGAAACGUGCGUCAAACUAAAU
RNAcentral lists this non-coding RNA (48 nucleotides) under Schistosoma haematobium. Lineage: Eukaryota; Metazoa; Platyhelminthes; Trematoda; Strigeidida; Schistosomatidae. The record is from RNAcentral.